RNAcentral lists this ribosomal RNA (669 nucleotides) under uncultured fungus. RNAcentral describes it as "eukaryotic LSU rRNA". It matches the Rfam family "Eukaryotic large subunit ribosomal RNA", at positions 24 to 664 of the family's 3401-position model. The record is from RNAcentral. Lineage: Eukaryota; Fungi.
CCCGCUGAACUUAAGCAUAUCAAUAAGCGGAGGAAAAGAAACUAACAAGGAUUCCCCUAGUAACUGCGAGUGAAGAGGGAAAAGCUCAAAUUUUGAAUCUGGCGGUCUUUCGGUCGUCCGAGUUGUAAUCUAGAGAAGCGUCUUCCGCGCUGGACCGUGUAUAAGUUUCCUGGAAUGGAACGUCGUAGAGGGUGAGAAUCCCGUCUUUGACACGGACUACCAGGGCUAUGUGAUGCGCUCUCGACGAGUCGAGUUGUUUGGGAAUGCAGCUCAAAUAGGGUGGUAAAUUCCAUCUAAAGCUAAAUACAGGCGAGAGACCGAUAGUGAACAAGUACCGUGAGGGAAAGAUGAAAAGAACUUUGGAAAGAGAGUUAAACAGUACGUGAAAUUGCUGAAAGGGAAACGCUUGAUGUCAGUCGCGUCGGCCGGGGAUCAGCCUUGCUUAACCGCUCGGCGUACUUCCUGGCAGACGGGUCAGCAUCAGUUUCGAUCGUCGGAGAAUGGCUCGAGGAAUGUGGCACUCUUCGGAGUGUGUUAUAGACUCGGGUCGAAUACGACGCUCGGGACCGAGGAACUCAGCACGACCUUCACCGGUUCGGAGCUUCGGCUCACGUUAACGUGCUUAGGAUGCUGGCAUAAUGGCCUUAAGCGACCCGUCUUGAAACACGG